This 519-nucleotide ribosomal RNA is filed under the name uncultured eukaryote. Its description in RNAcentral is "SSU rRNA". It matches the Rfam family "Eukaryotic small subunit ribosomal RNA", at positions 1161 to 1695 of the family's 1831-position model. The record is from RNAcentral.
AGGGCACCACCAGGAGUGGAGCCUGCGGCUUAAUUUGACUCAACACGGGAAACCUCACCCGGCCCGGACACGGACAGGAUUGACAGAUCGAUAGCUCUUUCUCGAUUCCGUGGGUGGUGGUGCAUGGCCGUUCUUAGUUGGUGGAGCGAUUUGUCUGGUUAAUUCCGAUAACGAACGAGACUCUGGCAUGCUAACUAGUUACGCGACCCCCCGAGCGGUCGGCGCCCCCCAACUUCUUAGAGGGACAAGUGGCGUUCAGCCACCCGAGAUUGAGCAAUAACAGGUCUGUGAUGCCCUUAGAUGUCCGGGGCUGCACGCGCGCUACACUGACUGGCUCAGCGUGUGCCUACCCUACGCCGGCAGGCGCGGGUAACCCGUUGAACCCCAUUCGUGAUGGGGAUCGGGGAUUGCAAUUAUUGCCCAUGAACGAGGAAUUCCCAGUAAGUGCGGGUCAUAAGCUUGCGUUGAUUAAGUCCCUGCCCUUGGUACGCACCGCCCGUCGCUACUACCGAUUGUAUG